Molecule: non-coding RNA, 68 nt
Filed under: Candidatus Aminicenantota bacterium
Lineage: Bacteria; Candidatus Aminicenantota
Source: RNAcentral
UUGCGAAACGGGGAGCAUUCUCCCCGUCACCCGGACGUGGUGGUCCGGGUCUGAUGAUGCAGCCGGAA